AAUUUUGGACAAUGGGGGAAACCCUGAUCCAGCCAUCCCUCGAGUAUGAAUGAUGCCUUCGGGUUGUAAAGUACUUUUGGCAGAGAAGAAAAGUAAUCGCCUAAUACGAGAUACGGCUGCCGGUUCACGCAGAAUAAGCACCGGCUACAUACGACCCGGCAGCCGCGGUAAUACGGAGGGUGCAUGCGUUAAUCCGAAUUACUGGGCGUAAAGCGUGUGUAGGCGGUUCGGAAAGAAAGAUGUGAAAGCCCAGGGCUCAUCCUUGGAACUGCAUUUUUAACUGCCGAGCUAGAGUAAGUCAGAGGGAGGUAGAAUUCCUCUUGUAGCAGGGAAAUGCGUGGAUAUGUGGAGGAAUACCGAUGGCGAAGGCGGCCCCCUGGGAUAAUACUGACGCUCAGACACGAAAGCGUGGGGAGCAAACA
This 422-nucleotide ribosomal RNA is filed under the name uncultured bacterium. RNAcentral describes it as "partial 16S ribosomal RNA". It matches the Rfam family "Bacterial small subunit ribosomal RNA", at positions 360 to 774 of the family's 1533-position model. The record is from RNAcentral.